RNAcentral lists this ribosomal RNA (468 nucleotides) under uncultured bacterium. RNAcentral's name for it is "partial 16S ribosomal RNA". It matches the Rfam family "Bacterial small subunit ribosomal RNA", at positions 28 to 507 of the family's 1533-position model. The record is from RNAcentral.
GAUGAACGCUGACAGAAUGCUUAACACAUGCAAGUCUACUUGAAUUUGGGUUUUUUAACUUAGAUUUGGGUGGCGGACGGGUGAGUAACGCGUAAAGAACUUGCCUCACAGCUAGGGACAACAUUUGGAAACGAAUGCUAAUACCUGAUAUUAUGAUUAUAAGGCAUCUUAGAAUUAUGAAAGCUAUAUGCGCUGUGAGAGAGCUUUGCGUCCCAUUAGCUAGUUGGAGAGGUAACGGCUCACCAAGGCGAUGAUGGGUAGCCGGCCUGAGAGGGUGAACGGGCAAAAAGGGAAUGGGGCACGGCCCUUACUCCUACGGGAGGCAGCAGUUGGGAAAAAUGGACAAUGGACCAAGAGUCUGAUCCAGCAAUUCUGGGUGCAAGAAGACGUUUUUCGGAAAGUAAAGUGCUUUCAGUUGGGAAAAAAAAAAUGACGGUACCAACAGAAGAAGUGACGGCUAAAUACGUG